AUCUUCAGGGCGAGGUGAAAUUCCUCACUGGCGGUAACGCAUAAAUGUGCGAAGCCCGCGACCCCAGCUAGUUUCUUUUAACUGUAGUGCUCAUGAGUAAUGCGGCAUAAAAGAUUUUAACUGGGUUGAUUCGGUGAAAAUCCGAGGCCAACGGUUAAAGUCCGGAUGGAAGAAGAUG
This 178-nucleotide non-coding RNA is filed under the name human gut metagenome. Its description in RNAcentral is "FMN riboswitch (RFN element)". It matches the Rfam family "FMN riboswitch aptamer (RFN element)". Rfam says of the family: The RFN element is a highly conserved domain that is found frequently in the 5'-untranslated regions of prokaryotic mRNAs that encode for flavin mononucleotide (FMN) biosynthesis and transport proteins. This element is a metabolite-dependent riboswitch that directly binds FMN in the absence of proteins. The record is from RNAcentral.